UACAGAGGGUGCAAGCGUUGUUCGGAAUUAUUGGGCGUAAAGGGAGUGUAGGCGGUUAUCUAAGUCUUCUGUGAAAUCUACGGGCUUAGCCUGUAAAGUGCAGAGGAAACUGGGUGACUAGAGUGUCGGAGAGGAUAGGGGAAUACCCAGUGUAGAGGUGAAAUUCGUAGAGAUUGGGUGGAACACCAGUGGCGAAGGCGCCUGUCUGGCUGACAACUGACGCUGAGACUCGAAAGCAUGGGGAGCAAACAGG
This 253-nucleotide ribosomal RNA is filed under the name uncultured bacterium. RNAcentral describes it as "partial 16S ribosomal RNA". It matches the Rfam family "Bacterial small subunit ribosomal RNA", at positions 524 to 776 of the family's 1533-position model. The record is from RNAcentral.